GUCUGACUAUUUCUUUGGGUCUUCCUUCCCUUGUGAAGUCUCUUGUGUCCUGUAAAAUGAAAGAUUUCCAAGAUCCUGUGGGGUAUCCAAGAUUGGCUAGAAUGAGAAAAUUCCAAGGAGACCAAAGAGGCCAAUUAAUGAGAGGAAGGGAGAAGCUGCGGAAGGGGGCAGCUGGAUCUCCUGCAGCCUCAAAUGUCAUCUCCCACAAGGCUGUGCAGAGCUGCAGUGAACACACACAGCAUAUGCACACACACACACACUCUCACUUACACGUAUUCAAACAUCAGCCCUCACACAAAGGUUCACACACCCGUGUUCAUGCACAGUCACGUUUGCCCACCUGAUGCUCAUCUGCCUUCACACUGACUCACUCCCACCUGUACACACACAACACACACACACAUGUGCACACGUGUGGAGACCCUGGCCGGCAGUCACAGAGAGAUCAGGGCGGGAAGAGGGGGACUUUUUCACCAGUCCCAUCGGCCCUCCUAAGGACUCUCCCUUCUUUGUAUCCUUAAUCUGGCUAAGGAGCCCAGGAAUCUCGGAACCAGUCCUCAAAAUUACCCUCUGUGAAAUCUCAGCCUCACUCUCCCUGGUGUCGGAUAUCUCUCUUGGUGUCUCCCAGGCCAAUGCUCAGUCACAGUUCUAUUUUACUAUCUGGUUGCCCCAGUAUGGUUUAGAGCAUGUCUCUGAAUCAAGACUAACUC
Molecule: long non-coding RNA, 710 nt
Organism: Bos taurus (domestic cattle)
Lineage: Eukaryota; Metazoa; Chordata; Mammalia; Artiodactyla; Bovidae
Source: Ensembl